This is a non-coding RNA of Xyrauchen texanus (razorback sucker), 472 nucleotides long. The record is from the annotation of a RefSeq genome assembly. Lineage: Eukaryota; Metazoa; Chordata; Actinopteri; Cypriniformes; Catostomidae.
GGGAGUGUUUAUAGUGCUGUGAGUUUAACACUUCAUGACUGACAGCAGAACAGAACACAAUCUUCAUCAUCACACAACACAAACAACAACAAUGACCUUCAGCAUCAUCUUCAUCUGGACUUUGUUUAUGUGUCUUCAAGGUUUUAGUGGACAGGUGACUGUGACUCAGACUCCCUCUGUAAAGAUGGUUCAGAUUGGUGAAUCGGUCACUAUAAGUUGCAAAACUAACACAGUAGUGAGCAAUGGCUGUUCUGGUUCAUAUACUUGUAUGGCCUGGUACCAACAGAAAUCUGGAGAAGCUCCUAAACUACUUAUUGAAUCCGCAAGCCGAAGACAGCCAAAUAUCCCAUCUAGAUUCAGUGGCAGCGGAUCAAGAACUGAUUUCACUCUGAGCAUCAGUGGAGUCCAGACUGAAGAUUCAGGAGAUUAUUACUGUCAGAGUUAUCACAAUAGUUAUGUGUUCACACAGUGA